Molecule: long non-coding RNA, 1366 nt
Organism: Nymphaea colorata (pocket water lily)
Lineage: Eukaryota; Viridiplantae; Streptophyta; Magnoliopsida; Nymphaeales; Nymphaeaceae
Exons: 6
Source: RefSeq, a predicted model, not a curated record
GAGAGUGGGAGCGGAAGACCUCUUUCUUGAAAGCCGAUGCCGUGGGAGAGUGGGAGCGGAAGACCUCUUUCUUGAAAGCCGAUGCCGCGGGAGAAGGAGAUAGCCACAGAGCGAGAGAGAGAGAGAGAGGGAGAGAGAGCCCGCACUGGUCGUUGUCGUGGCUGGGGCUUGUGGUUUCAAGCAGAGGCAGAGCCGGUGGAUGCAACGAACUUUUCGGGCUCCGGGGACAGGUUUCUUGGGUUUGCGAAUCCGACGAACCUAAUCUCGAAUCGCUCCGAGCCGGCGAAGGCCAUCGAAGAUCCGCUGAUCGGCAGCCCUAAACCUUCUCACAUGAACCCCUUCGGAGCCUACUCGCCUCCUUGGCAGCCAUUGGAGGGUCUGGUUUUGAGGUGAUCUGACGAUCUUGGAUCUGAUCAGUUGCAACCACAAUGCAGCAAUGCCUCUUUCUCUUGAUUGCUCAGAUGGGGAUCAGAGCAUUUGUGCUGGAAAAUAAAUCAAAAGUGUGUCUGAUUGUGGGUGUGGUGGAGGAGAUCUAUUGUGGGUCUGAUCGUAAGUGUUGUAGAAGAUCACGCUAUUGGAAGCUUCCUCUUUCUAGUCACGUUAACUCCUAUUGACAUGAUCUGCCCCUGUUACCAUUGCUCAUGUUUUUAGAAGAUGCUUCCCUGCAGUUGAUGCAGUGGAUAAAUCAAGAGUGGUAGUGCUGGUGGUGGUGAAGUUGUGAUCAAGUGUUGCUCAUGCUGAUGGUGGUGACGAUGUCAUCAAGUGCAGGUCAGAUGUACUCUCCAAUCUGGAUGAAGUUGGCUCGUAAACAAGGUUACAAGCAAUACAUUCACUGUGGGUUUCUGACAAACAGCCUGAUCGGCCCCUUAAAAUAUGCAGAAUUGACAAGAAACGGGCUCCUCAACAAUACGUUUCUCCUUGAUAGAUGUGCUCUAUCCUUCCAGUUCCAGAGUUAAAUGUUCUUGUGUUGAUGAUGAAGUGCUAUGCUAUUUGAUAGCUUCUUUUCUUUCUUAAUGUAUCUGUUCUCUGCUAGAUUCUUCGCUCACUUGUUCUUUAGUCUUUACCUUCAAUUCGUCAAAUGUUGGGACUGAUUCUAAUUCAUGGGCAGGUUGAUGGAUUCAUAUACUACACUUCUGUAUUCAAAUUGUUUGAUUGCGUUUUCAAUGAUUCAACCGGGAUAUAUUUGUAUUUUUGUCAUGACAUCUUUUUAACAGCAUCUAUUAACAACCUAAUAUUUUAUGCCGGUGGGAAUGCAGUUCAGUAAUCGGAAGCCCAAAGGCAUGGGCCCUAUCAGACGACGACGCUAACUGUGGAGGAAAGAAUGAUCUCGCGUAACUCUUUAAUCGGACUCUUUAAAUUUGCUUAU